GUGCCAGCAGCCGCGGUAAUACGGGGGGAGCAAGCGUUGUUCGGAAUCACUGGGCGUAAAGGGAGUCUAGGCGGUUUGGUAAGUGGGAUGUGAAAUCCCCGGGCUCACCCCGGGACCUGCAUCCCAAACUGCUGAGCUUGAGUACAGGAGAGGGUGGGGGAAUUCCAGGUGUAGCGGUGAAAUGCGUAGAUAUCUGGAGGAACACCGGUGGCGAAGGCGCCCACCUGGCCUGCUACUGACGCUGAAGCUCGAAAGCUAGGGGAGCAAACGGGAUUAGAUACCCCGGUAGUCC
Molecule: ribosomal RNA, 292 nt
Filed under: uncultured bacterium
Lineage: Bacteria
Description: partial 16S ribosomal RNA
Rfam family: Bacterial small subunit ribosomal RNA
Source: RNAcentral